Molecule: ribosomal RNA, 249 nt
Filed under: Sphingorhabdus sp.
Lineage: Bacteria; Pseudomonadati; Pseudomonadota; Alphaproteobacteria; Sphingomonadales; Sphingorhabdaceae
Description: partial 16S ribosomal RNA
Rfam family: Bacterial small subunit ribosomal RNA
Source: RNAcentral
AAACUUGAGAGUUUGAUCCUGGCUCAGAACGAACGCUGGCGGCAUGCUUAACACAUGCAAGUCGAACGAGAUCUUCGGAUCUAGUGGCGCACGGGUGCGUAACGCGUGGGGAUCUACCAUAGGGUACGGAAUAACUCAGAGAAAUUUGUGCUAAUACCGUAUAAUGUCGCAAGACCAAAGAUUUAUCGCCCUUUGAUGAACCCGCGUAAGAUUAGCUAGUUGGUGUGGUAAAGGCUCACCAAGGCGACG